This 291-nucleotide ribosomal RNA is filed under the name Burkholderia sp. SF-5. Its description in RNAcentral is "partial 16S ribosomal RNA". It matches the Rfam family "Bacterial small subunit ribosomal RNA", at positions 490 to 779 of the family's 1533-position model. The record is from RNAcentral. Lineage: Bacteria; Pseudomonadati; Pseudomonadota; Betaproteobacteria; Burkholderiales; Burkholderiaceae.
GCACCGGCUAUCUACGUGACAGCAGCCGCGGUAAUACGUAGGGUGCAAGCGUUAUUCGGAAUUAUCUGGCGUAAAGCGUGCCCAGGCGGUUCGUUAAGACAGAUGUGAAAUCCCCGGGCUUAACUCUGGGAACUGCAUUUAUGACUGGCGGGCUAGAGUAUGACAGAGGUGGGUAGAAUUCCACGUGUAGCAGUGAAAUGCGUAGAGAUGUGGAGGAAUACCGAUGGCGAAGGCAGCCCCCUGGGCCAAUACUGACGCUCAUGCACGAAAGCGUGGGGAGCAAACAGGAUU